ACGGGCGGAGUGUACAAGACCCGGGAACGUAUUCACCGCGGCAUGCUGAUCCGCGAUUACUAAGCGAUUCCAGCUUCAUGUAGUCGAGUUGCAGACUACAAUCCGAACUGAGACGUUAUUUUUGAGAUUUGCUCACACUCACAUGCUCGCUUCCCUUUGUUUACGCCAUUGUAGCACGUGUGUAGCCCUGGCCAAAA
Molecule: ribosomal RNA, 197 nt
Filed under: uncultured bacterium
Lineage: Bacteria
Description: partial 16S ribosomal RNA
Source: RNAcentral